This 560-nucleotide ribosomal RNA is filed under the name uncultured soil bacterium. RNAcentral's name for it is "bacterial SSU rRNA". It matches the Rfam family "Bacterial small subunit ribosomal RNA", at positions 35 to 573 of the family's 1533-position model. The record is from RNAcentral.
GCUGGCGGCGUGCCUAACACAUGCAAGUCGAACGCGAAAGUUCCUUCGGGGGCUAGUAGAGUGGCGUCCGGGUGAGUAACACGUGGGUAAUCUGCCUCCGGGUGGGGAAUAACACCUCGAAAGAGGUGCUAAUACCGCAUAAUGCAGCGGCACCUAAUGGUGAAUAGUUGUUAAAGCGGGGGAUCGCAAGACCUCGCGCCUGGAGAGGANCCUGCGGCCGAUUAGCUAGUUGGUGAGGUAACGGCCUCACCAAGGCGACGAUCGGUAGCUGGUCUGAGAGGACGGCCAGCCACACUGGCACUGAAAUACGGGCCAGACUCCUACGGGAGGCAGCAGUGGGGAAUUUUGGGCAAUGGGCGCAAGCCUGACCCAGCAACGCCGCGUGAGGGAGGAAAUCCUUCGGGAUGUAAACCUCGCAAGCAGGGGAAGAAUGCCUUCGACCUAAUACGUUGAAAGAGGGACGGUACCCUGCGUAAGCCACGGCUAACUACGUGCCAGCAGCCGCGGUAAUACGUAGGUGGCAAGCGUUGUUCGGAAUUACUGGGCGUAAAGGGCGCGUA